This is a long non-coding RNA of Quercus lobata, 801 nucleotides long. RefSeq lists it as uncharacterized. The record is from RefSeq and is a predicted model, not a curated record. The transcript is spliced from 3 exons. Lineage: Eukaryota; Viridiplantae; Streptophyta; Magnoliopsida; Fagales; Fagaceae.
CAAAUCACACAGCAAUGGUCCGUCCCGUUCUACAUUUCGAAUUGGGGAGUUCUGGUUUCCUAAGGAUUGAGUAUACAGGGAAGCAACAAGAAUUCCUAGUCUGAUUCUCGAGAAAAAGAAAUAUGGCCAAAGAAUAUCUAUGUUUGUGUCACGUGGUAGUGGUCUUCUCGGCAACUCUGGCUUCACAAGCUAAGGCAUUUACCAAUCCACUCAAAGGGUGCAACCUCUAUCUCUUGCUUAGGCGGACUUACACCACACCGAUAGCCUUUGGGCUUUAUUUCAAGGGCCUAUUGUCGAGUUUCGGCUUGGCUACCCCAUAUUCUAUUUAGGAACAUCAAAAUUUUCCCCUCAACAACAUGUUGCUAAGGCUUAUGUCUUUGGAGUUAGGGAAUCAAGGAAUUUGAUUGAUACUGCCUUUUUUUCUUGACUACUUGUUUAGCUCAUCCCAAAAUGACUGUUUUUCUUUUGUACUCUGAAGCUCAACAGAGAAAGAGUAGAGGCUUAGAAGGAAAGGAAGAAGGAGAAGAGGAGGAGGAGGAAAGAGAAGGGGAGAUGGUGAGGUUGGGCAGAAAAUGCAGAAAUAUAAACAUAGGCACAAGGAUGGCAGGAACAAUGUUCAUUUUUCAUGUUUAUAAAUUAUAUAUAUUGCUUCCUGUAGUACAGUCAUGGUCUGCCUGCUCAAUUCAAUUAUCUACAUUGUCUAUGGUCAAUACUUCAAGAUGUUUCUCCCCCUCUUCUUUGGGUUUGCAUCAAUUUAUUUAUGUGUGAUGUAUGUUUUAUUCUAGAAUUAUUAUUUUUUUG